GCAGCGGAAAGCUCAGUAACACGUGGCCAAACUACCCUGUGGAUGGGAACAAUCUCGGGAAACUGAGGCUAAUUCCCAAUAACGCUCCACCCCUGGAACGGGCGGAGCUGGAAACGCUACGGCGCCACAGGAUGUGGCUGCGGUCGAUUAGGUAGACGGUGGGGUAACGGCCCACCGUGCCAAUAAUCGGUACGGGUUGUGAGAGCAAGAGCCCGGAGACGGAAUCUGAGACAAGAUUCCGGGCCCUACGGGGCGCAGCAGGCGCGAAACCUUUACACUGUACGCAAGUGCGAUAAGGGGACUCCGAGUGUGAAGGCAUAGAGCCUUCACUUUUGUACACCGUAAGGUGGUGUACGAAUAAGGGCUGGGCAAGACCGGUGCCAGCCGCCGCGGUAAUACCGGCAGCCCGAGUGAUGGCCGAUAUUAUUGGGCCUAAAGCGUCCGUAGCUGGCCGGACAAGUCCGUUGGGAAAUCUGUUCGCUUAACGAGCAGGCGUCCAGCGGAAACUGUUCGGCUUGGGACCGGAAGACCUGAGGGGUACGUCCGGGGUAGGAGUGAAAUCCUGUAAUCCUGGACGGACCACCGGUGGCGAAAGCGCCUCAGGAGGACGGAUCCGACAGUGAGGGACGAAAGCUAGGGUCUCGAACCGGAUUAGAUACCCGGGUAGUCCUAGCUGUAAACGAUGCCCGCUAGGGGUGGUGCAGGCUACGAGGCUGCGUUGUGCCGUAGGGAAGCCGAGAAGCGAGCCGCCUGGGAAGUACGUCUGCAAGGAUGAAACUAAAAGGAAUGGGCGGGGGGAGCACUAACACCGAAGGAGCCUGCGGUUUAUUGACUCACGCCGGACAUCUCACCAGAUCCGAUAGUAGUAUUGACGAGUCAGGUUGAUGACUUUA
Molecule: ribosomal RNA, 893 nt
Filed under: Halobacterium sp.
Lineage: Archaea; Methanobacteriati; Methanobacteriota; Halobacteria; Halobacteriales; Halobacteriaceae
Description: bacterial SSU rRNA
Rfam family: Archaeal small subunit ribosomal RNA
Source: RNAcentral